RNAcentral lists this ribosomal RNA (349 nucleotides) under Cosmoscarta bispecularis. RNAcentral's name for it is "eukaryotic LSU rRNA". It matches the Rfam family "Eukaryotic large subunit ribosomal RNA", at positions 1332 to 1604 of the family's 3401-position model. The record is from RNAcentral. Lineage: Eukaryota; Metazoa; Arthropoda; Insecta; Hemiptera; Cercopidae.
AGCGUCGUGCCUAUACUCUGCCGUCAACGGCACAGGGGGCGGCACACUAGCUUGUGUCGGGCCGUUAUGCCUUGACGAGUAGGAGGGUCGCGGCGAUGUGCGCAGAAGGGUCUGGGCGUGAGCCUGCCUGGAGCCAUCGUCGGCGCAGAUCUUGGUGGUAGUAGCAAAUACUCCAGCGAGGACCUGGAGGACUGACGUGGAGAAGGGUUUCUUGUGAACAGCUGUUGCACAAGAGUCAGUCGAUCCUAAGCCCUAGGAGAAAUCCUAUGUCGAUGGGGAGCCGUUUAAGUUGACGGGCGCGCGAGAGCGCGCUUCCGAUAUGGAAGGCAACCCACGGGGCGAAAGGGAA